Eriocheir sinensis (Chinese mitten crab) is the source of this 608-nucleotide long non-coding RNA. RefSeq lists it as uncharacterized. The record is from RefSeq and is a predicted model, not a curated record. NCBI's taxonomy places the organism in Eukaryota, Metazoa, Arthropoda, Malacostraca, Decapoda, Varunidae. The transcript has 3 exons.
GUGUCCUUCCUCCCAGCCACAGUUCAGGAGGAGGAAGUCGUGUUUACUAAAGCCACAGUGUUUUUCUUGUGUUGUUUCAGAGUGGCAUGGGUGAUUCAGAGGCUCUUACUCAGGUGGUGCUGCCCGUGGCCUUCCAGUUCAACCCACAGCUGGUCCUGGUCACUGCCAGCCUUGAUGUUGGUGCGGGGACCCACUUGGAGGUUGCUGCGUGAGUCCCGAUUGCUUUGGACAUAUGAUGGCCCUUCUGCCUGGCCUGGCCGAGGGCCGCAUGGUUCUGGCACUGGAGGGCGGCUUCAACCUCACCACCAUCAGCUGCUGCAUGACGCUGUGUGCCAAGGCCUUGCUGGGGGAUCCGCUGCCCCCCCCUUGAGCCCCAGCUGGUGCCCAACAAGAGUGCCGUGCAGACCAUCAAUGACGUCAUCCGUACCCACAGCCGCUACUGGCCGGCGCUCUGCUUCAAGAAAGAAGAAGAAGAAAAGAAGAGAAGGAGAGGGUAUAUGUCUGUGUGUGUGUUAUAUGGACAAAAUUUAAACUGAUUUCUUUCAACAUAUAUUUUAUUAUUAUUAUUGAAAGACAAACUUUUCUUCUUCACUUCCUCCUUCUUCUUC